This is a long non-coding RNA of Zalophus californianus (California sea lion), 3420 nucleotides long. RefSeq lists it as uncharacterized. The record is from RefSeq and is a predicted model, not a curated record. NCBI's taxonomy places the organism in Eukaryota, Metazoa, Chordata, Mammalia, Carnivora, Otariidae. The transcript has 4 exons.
GUGGGGCAGAGAUUGAAUGUGCCCGGGGCCAGGUGCGGGCAACCGAUGGAGGCCGGGAAGGGCCAGGCUGGCUGCCGGAGCCCCCUCCUGCUCCGGACACUUGGAAUACAGGUACCUCCUGUGUCCUCGGAGCAGCUCCUGGAGGUCAGCUCAUCCUUAUCCCUGCGUGCUGGGAACAGAGGUCCUGGAGACACCUGCUUUUCCUGAGUGUAAGACCACCUGGUCCCUGCCCUCAAGAAGCUUAGAAUCCAGGAGAGGAAAUGAAGCUAACCCACAGAGAGCAUGGCACCGGGACUGGCCCGCGGGAGGGGCUCGGUCAGCACCUCUGAAGAGGACUACACAGAGCACAGAGGUCUCCGUCAAAGCUUUGCAGGCUCUGGGGGAGGGGGAAAGGAGACUUUUGUGGGCUGCAGGAGCCAGAGAGGCCUUUCUGGGGGAGGCCCUGGGAGCAGGGCCUGAAGACCGCGCCGGGAGGAGGACGGGCCCCCCCCAGACCAGGGGGCUGAGGCUCAGAGAGGACCAGUAACCUGUCCGAGGUGACACCGUGUCCCACUACAGCCACAUCUGCCUCGUCCGAUUCGGGCUCUUCCAACACUCACUCAUUUGGGCUCUGUUUGCCUCAAGUCCUCCGGCCGUGCUGUUCCCUCUGCCUCCAGGCUUGUCCCUUCUCUCCCACCUCCUUAUCGUUCAAACUGCAGCUGGAAUGUCACUCCCGCAUACAGGGAGCACCUACUGUGUGACAAGCGCUGUUCUGGCCACUGACGGCGCAGCAGCGACCAGAACUGACAGAAUCCUCUGUCUUUGAGUGGACCGGUAACCCCCGAGCUUCCAUAGCGGCGGCAGCUGUCCCCCUGCGGAGCUACUGCCCCACGCUUGGGGGACACGAAUCGGCAGGAUAAACCUGGCACAUCAUCCUGAUACGUCACUCCUUUAAAUUGGCCUGGGGUGGGGAAGGAUGGGGGUGGGGGAGAAGCAUUAUCUUUUAUUUAAGCAGCACAGAUCCAUUAUGGGAUAGCAUCUCAAACUUCUGUCCACAUUUUAAGAGAAAGCCAAGCCUGAGGGAGACCCCUGGGGCCUCACCAUCAGCAUGCCCAGGCGAGGGGUGCUCUCCGUGGCCCUUUGGGGGAGAAGGUUGGAAACCUCACGUUCCAGGGAUGGAGAGCUGUCCUAGCCUGGGAAAGCCAGGCGUCCAAAGGCCUCCGGAUUCCUCCGUCUGAGCCCAGAGCAGGGAGGUCAGGAGGGUGUUGAAGCUGAGAGCCCAGGUUCAAGUUGGGGCUCUGCUCCUGCCUGCUAUUCAAGCCAUCUCACUCCUCCGGGUCCUCUUUGGCUUGUGGAUAAAACGAUGAGCUUGAACUAGAGCUUCUCUGAGAGUCCAGCAGGCCCAAAAAACCUAUCUGACUCUAAGGCCAGAAUCGGUUGCCCAGCUCAUCUGGUCCCGUGCCACCUCCCAGACCCCUCCCCUCGGUCUUCUCUCCCGCCUACCCCGCCCCCGCUUCCCCAUCCUCAGCCCCCACCUAGUGGUACCUGCUGCCUGAGACCCGGCUGAAGGCAAAGACCCUGCCCCGCCCCACCCGAGGCUCAGAGAGGAGAAAGAGGAGAGGCAGGAGGAAGGUCACAUUUCUGACUUGGCCCGCUGCCUGGUUUUCAUUAGGCCCACUGCCUAAUUUUCCUGGGCGGCACUUGCUUUCUUGGCUAGUCUCCCCUCUUUCUUAACCGUUUCAGAGGAAAAAGCUGUCACACACCCCUCCCCCCCCCAUCCCCCUGGCUGACGCUGGUAUCAUGGCCCAGAGAGCUUCCUUCUGUGUCACCCCGGUGCCUCUCGCUGCCACAUCAGCCACGUCCUCUUUACCUCCAGGCAGAGAGAGGUCUCCAGGCACAGAGAAAAGCAGCCCAAAUGGACCCAGGCUUGACUAAUAAUAACACUAAUUAUGAUCAUUAGCACUUAUCGAGCACUUACUAUGGGCCAGGCCCUGUGAACUCAGUGACUUCCUCCACCGACCUCAUGAAAUAAGGACUAUUAUGAUCGCUCCCAUUUUAUAGAUGGGGAAACUGAGGCCCAGAGAUGUUAUGCAGUGGACCUGGGACCCAAAACCAAUGCCAAGACGCAGGGAGCCUUCGAAUAUCCUUCUCCUGGUUAAGUGCACCCUUCCCCCACCCCUACACCCUUGUCUGCUGGGUCUCUCCCUGUCCGCUCCAGAAUGGGAUUAAGGGUAAGGGCCUAAGGCCCAGACAUAAGGCCUUUGGGGAAUGCACAGCGCAUUUUGAAGGUGAAGGAGGCAAGGCUGCCCAGGCAGGACUUUGGGGCCCAAAAACUGGUUCCUGGGGACUCCAUGGGCUUGCUCUUGAUGGGAGCAAGAUCAGCUGAAGGUGGCACCAAUGGGGAAAUCAAGUCACCUGGGAAGGGAUGAGGAGAGUCAGGGGCUUCAUGGGCAUAAGCAGGGCAGAGAGCUGGUGCUGCAAGCAAACCAGUCCCAUCGGUGGACUCAGUGGAUGUGGAGCAGGGAAGAGAGCACUUGGAACUCUAGUUGAUGUCCUAGCUGGAGGGGGGGACCGCCGCCUUUGCACCCAAAGGGGGCGGGAGUAUGCUGCUCUCACCAGCCACAAGACCACCCCCUCCCCCCUAGGAAGGAAUACCCAGCUCUCCUGGGACCCAGCACUCGGCUGGUACCACUGGGGCUGCCCAGCUCCUCUGGCCAGGCCUGCGAUAAAAAUCCUGCAGUGAUCCGAGUCAGAGACACAGACAGAGAGAAAAGGGGAAAAAAACCCUCCAGUGUCUGACAUUCUUUUUAGGAUGCCCAUAAAAGAUAAUGUGACCUGUAAAAUUGGCAAGCUGCUUCCCAGCCUGUGGCACCCGGGGCCCCCACGCCCCGCUCCGCCCCCCCACCCCCCACCCCCCACCCCCCGCCCAGGUCCACUCUCUUGCCCUCAGGCCGAGGGCGCUACCCUGGGGACCCUCAGGCUGGGGGAGACAGCAGCCCCAAGGCUCUGUGGUCUGCCCAGGUGGGGCCCCUUCCUCCACUUCCUCCUCCCCUCACACCAACCCCCCCCCACCCCUUCCCAGGGCCCUCCGGUCCGCUGAGCGGUUGCUGCCAGGCCAGGGGGCGGGAAUGUGCCAGGACAGGUGCGCUCUGCUCUUGCUCUCUCGCUCUCCCAGGUGAGUCACCCCUGUGGGAGGAUGUUGAUGAAUCGGAACCCGGGCUCUUUGUUUGCAGCUCCUGGGAAUUCACGCACUGGGGGCUGUGGCCAGGCAGCACUGAGAGAUGGGAGUCAGGAGGCGGGGGUUCGAGUCCCAGCCUCGCCACCCGCCGGCUGCUUGAAACUGUGUCCGUUCGGAGCUGAUUUAGGUCUCAGUUUCUCUACCCCGGAAACAGGCCUAAAAAUCAUGUCCUUUGUAAUUUUGCUGGAAGGUAAUAAAGCAGA